Pelobates cultripes (western spadefoot toad) is the source of this 306-nucleotide non-coding RNA. Lineage: Eukaryota; Metazoa; Chordata; Amphibia; Anura; Pelobatidae. The record is from the annotation of a GenBank genome assembly.
AGUGGCAGAGUGAGGGAAGGAAGGGAUGACUGGUGACAGAGUGAGGGAAUGACUGGUGACAGAGGGGGUGACUAGUGACCGAGUGAGGGAGGGAGUGGGUGACUAGUGACAGAGUGAGGAAGGGGGUGACACAGUGAUAGUCACCCCAUUCCUCCCUCUGUCACUAAUCACCACCUCCCUCACUCUCACUAGUCACCCCUUCCCUCCCUCACUCUGUCACUAGUCACACCCUCCCUCUCUCUGUCACUAGUCACACCCUUACUCACUGUCACUAGUCACACCCUCUCUCUGUCACUAGAGUGAGGG